Molecule: non-coding RNA, 1582 nt
Organism: Oncorhynchus mykiss (rainbow trout)
Lineage: Eukaryota; Metazoa; Chordata; Actinopteri; Salmoniformes; Salmonidae
Source: RefSeq, a predicted model, not a curated record
AUAAAGAGUUAGGCAGGAUAGUGCUGAGCCAUCACUGGACAGCAUUAAAACAACCGUCUGUCCAGGGCUGCGUUACAGCCACCCACCGCAGCCCUCCUCUCUGCCACUGCAGUCCCACGUUCUGUACCACUACUGCCCUGUUGGCCGGAUUAACUCAUAGAACGGUGAAAAGACCAAACAGACAUCAUGUCUGAGAAAAAGAUGUCAUCGAGCCGCAAGCAUCAUCUGAAGAGCCUGAUGCUCCAGAUCGCCCAGGAACUGAUAGCGGAGGAGGAAGCCCAGUCUUUAGAGGACAGGAAGCAGUACAUGAGUGAAAACAUCACUCCCCUGCAGCUCACAGGAUCCAUUGCAGAACUCCAGGACCUGUGUAAGAAGAUGCACCAGAAGAUUGAUGUGAUAGAUGAGGAGAGAUACGACCUGGGCAGCAAAGUUGGCAAAAGUGACAAAGAGAUUGAGGAUCUGCAGAUUAAAGUACAAGACCUGAAGGGAAAGUUCAAGAAGCCCGUCCUGAAGAAAGUCUGCAUGUCUGCUGAUGCUAUGCUCCAGGCUCUGCUGGGCUCCAAACACAAGGUGUCCAUGGAUCUGAGGUCCAACCUGAAGCAAGUCAAGAAGGAGGUCAAGGAAGAGGACAAAGAAUCUGUGGGCGACUGGCGUAAGAACAUCGAAGACAAAUCAGACAGAAAGAAGAUGUUUGAGACUGCUAAGGAGUAGAUGUUCCUGGAGUUCCAGACAGGAAGAUGUUUGUGGCGGCUUGAACAACCUUCUGCCUUUGGUUACGAAGUUAUACAGUUACGACUCGUUUGUUUGUUUGUUUGUUUUUCGUCUCUGGCUAAAUUCAUCUAAGAUGUAGUUCCAUCACUCUAGGACUGUUGUGACAGGUGUUAAUGAAUUGUUAUGGUAUCUAAGAGGUAGUUCCAUCACUCUAGGACUGUUGUGACAGGUGUUAAUGAAUUGUUAUGGUAUCUAAGAGGUAAUUCCAUCUCCCUGGGACUGCUGUGACAGGUGUUAAUGAAUUGUUAUGGUAUCUAAGAGGUAGUUCCAUCUCUCUAGGACUGUUGUGACAGGUGUUAAUGAAUUGUUAUGGUAUCUAAGAGGUAGAUCCAUCUCUCUAGGACUGUUGUGACAGGUGUUAAUGAAUUGUUAUGGCAUCUAAGAGGUAGUUCCAUCUCUCUAGGACUGUUGUAAACAGGUGUUAAUGAAUUGUUAUGGUAUCUAAGAGGUAAUUCCAUCUCACUGGGACUGUUGUAAACAGGUGUUAAGGAAUUGUUAUGGGAUCUAAGAGGUAGUUCCAUCUCUCUAGGACUGUUGUAAACAGAUGUUAAUGAAUUGUUAUGGUAUCUAAGAGGUAGUUCCAUCUCUCUAGGACUGUUGUAAACAGAUGUUAAUGAAUUGUUAUGGUAUCUAAGAGGUAGUUCCAUCUCUCUAGGACUGUUGUAAACAGGUGUUAAUGAAUUGUUAUGGUAUCUAAGAGAUAGUUCCAUCUCUCUAGGACUGUUGUAAACAGGUGUUAAUGUGUGUAAUCAAAACAAUCUGUAGUUCUGUUAAGUAAUUUUGUUCCAAUUCAAUUUCUGAAAAUAAAUGA